CCGAAUGGGUGACAGUAACAGAUCCAGGACACACGGAAGGUGCUCGCAGUUGGAAUUAACUCAGCAACAGAAACUUUGGAAGGCCCCAUCAUUUGUUUCAAGUCACCAGCAUUGGCAGAAUGGGAAGGGCUUCGAGGCAUGCCUACUUCCACAAAAGCAUCAUUACAACCUGUAAUGGAGAAAAGAGAAAGAAGCUGAAAAUCAUGUGCAAUGGAAGCAAACCCAAAUCCAACGCUACAGAGGCAGUGUUAGCUUGAUGGGCUCAACAAGGCAUAACAAGAACAUGUGUAACCGUGGAGGGCACGUUAACACACUAGGCCUGCCGCAAAAGCACAGAUAAAAUGUAAAGAGAAGACCUUCAUAGGUUUUAAAGAUUGCAGUAAAGAGGUUAUUUUAAAAACUAUACAUAUACAUGA
Long non-coding RNA from Echinops telfairi (small Madagascar hedgehog), 416 nucleotides. RefSeq lists it as uncharacterized. Lineage: Eukaryota; Metazoa; Chordata; Mammalia; Afrosoricida; Tenrecidae. The record is from RefSeq and is a predicted model, not a curated record. The transcript has 2 exons.